AUUUCUUUCUAAGAAAUAAAAUUUCAAUCUGUACUUUCUCAAAAUCUUUCUCCUUCUCUCCUUUUCUGUAUCUUCUCAUGUCGUUCAUUUUGUCUCUGAAUCCAUCAAGCUUUCAGCUUCUUGGUGACAUCUCCGACGUCUAAAUGGACGUGGCAAUCACUGCUGUCCGCUCACCGGCGAUAGUCCUUGGAGGACCGAUCAGCGCCUCCGCCUCUGCACGCCUCAGUUCCACUUCUAGUUUUCCAGAGAGCUCAAGCAAGAUCGUCGAAGAGGUUUUGUAGUUAGAGCAGCUUCGUCAUUUCCCGAGUCAUCUGAAUCGGAUGUCCGUGCCAAGAUUGCUCCUCUUCAGUUGGGCAGUUUCUUUCUCAGAUUUUGAGCAGCUCCAAACAGACCGCGAUGGAUUUUGAUUUUGUACAGAAGUUCAUUGUAAUAUUUCUUUGACACCAUCUGUAAUCCCAGAUCUGUCUGGUAAGAUUGAUUUGUGGCCAGAUGAGAUGGUAAACAUGUGAAGCUGAUUCAAAACCACCUGAGCCUCAUUAUGGGUAACAAAGUAGGAGAUAUAACAUCGAUUGCUGAAAUCAGCAAAUUCAGUGAUGUAUGGUUCCAUUUUGUCUUGAACUGAGGAAAGGUGUAUACUCCUCAGAGCCCAUACAAUACAAAACAUAUAUUACAAUGUGUCGGUACUAUAGUGAAGGCAAAGGUUAUCUUCAAGGUACAUGUUUUGCUUAUUUAUUAUAAUUCAUUUGUAUAUACUGUACUAUAUUUUGCUUAUUGUAUGAUAGUGUUUGUUGUUAUUUGCUGUCUGUUAGAUAGUUGGAUUUUUCCUAUUUAGGUUUAUGGUUUACAUUGUAUGUGAGAUAAUUUGUUAGAUGGAUGGGAAGGCUAUAUUAUUCAGAGUAGAAGUGAGCGCAAUUUGUAAUUUAAUGAUCUAAUAAUAAUACCCUAUAAUUAAACGGUAGUA
This is a long non-coding RNA of Vigna radiata var. radiata (mung bean), 961 nucleotides long. RefSeq lists it as uncharacterized. The transcript is spliced from 3 exons. The record is from RefSeq and is a predicted model, not a curated record. NCBI's taxonomy places the organism in Eukaryota, Viridiplantae, Streptophyta, Magnoliopsida, Fabales, Fabaceae.